CCAAUAUGUGGCACAGAUCAGAAAACUUACAGUAAUGAAUGCACAUUGUGCAUGGUAAACCAAGAUCAAGAAUUUCAACCCAGGAAGCUUCAUGAAGGUGAAUGUAUUCAGUGUACCGGGUAUUCUGAGGUGUGUACCAUGGACUACAAACCUCACUGUGGAUCCGAUGGAAAUGUAUAUUCCAACAGAUGUAUCUUUUGCAAUGCUGUUGUGAGGAGCCAAGGUGCAAUUCGGUUGAAAAAUUAUGGAUUGUGCUGAAUCUCCCUGAUGCUUAAGG
Cercocebus atys (sooty mangabey) is the source of this 277-nucleotide long non-coding RNA. RefSeq lists it as uncharacterized. The record is from RefSeq and is a predicted model, not a curated record. NCBI's taxonomy places the organism in Eukaryota, Metazoa, Chordata, Mammalia, Primates, Cercopithecidae. The transcript has 4 exons.